UAGCAGGAAAUUAAGGGCGUACGGUGGAUGCCUUGACUUUAAGAGGCGAUGAAGGACGUGGCGUUGCUGCGAUAAGCUUCGGGGAGGUGCUUAGCUACCUUUGAUCCGGAGAUUUCCGAAUGGGGAAACCCCAUCGAGUAAACCUCGAUGACUUUUAUCUUUAUGGUAAAAGAGCAAACCCUGGGAAGUGAAACAUCUCAGUACCAGGAGGAGUAGAAACAAAUAUGUAUUUCCUUAGUAGCGGCGAGCGAAAAGGAAGAAGCCCAAACCAAGGUCGCAAGACUUUGGGGUUGUAAGGUGACAAUUUUUAUUUAAUUAGAGAGGAGUCAAAAAAUAAGUUAUUAGUUGAAGUUGCUGGAAAGCGACACCAUAGGGGGUGAUAGUCCCGUAAACGAAAAUAAUUUAUCUCUUUUAUUGUUAUUCUUGAGUACCCCAGGACAUCAAUAGCCGGGGGGAAUCUGGCGGAACUAACCGCUAAGGCUAAAUACUCUUAAAGAUCGAUAGUGAACUAGUACCGUGAGGGAAAGGUGAAAAGCAGCCCGAUUAGGGCGGUGAAAUAGACCUGAAACCGUAUGUUUACAAGGAGUCGAAGUCCGUUUUCGAAUGGACAACGGCGUGCCUAUUGAAGAAUGAGCCAACGAGUUUAUUCAUACUGCAAGGCUAAGCUGGCUAAAACAGCGAAGCCAAAGGGAAACCAAGUGUUAAUAGCGCAAAUAAGUAGUAUGCAUAAGACCCGAAGCAAGGUGAGCUUGCCAUGAGCAGGAUGAAGUAGGUCGAAAGAUCUAUGGAGGUCCGAACCGGUUUGUCGUACAACGCAUUCGGAUGACUUGUGGUAAGGAGUGAAAAGCUAAUCGAACCUUGUAAUAGCUGGUUCUCUCCGAAAUAGCUUUAGGGCUAGCGUCAAGUGUUUUCUCUGGGGGUAGAGCACUGGAAGAAUUCAACAGGGAGCAAUCUCGUGAAUUCUAUCAAACUCCGAAUACCAGAGACCAAAGCUUGGCAGUUAGGCUAUGGGGGCGAAGCUCCAUUAGCCAAAAGGGAAACAGCCCAGAUCUCAAAAUAAGGUCCCUAAAUAUAUACUAAGUGUAAGACAAGAAGGUGAAAUUUCUUAGACAAUGAGGAGGUUGGCUUAGAAGCAGCCAUCCUUUAAAGAUAGCGUAACAGCUCACUCAUCUAGAGAUUUUGCGUCGAAAAUAAUUGGGGCUAAGUAUAUUACCGAAUUUGAGGAUUCGUAGACUUCAUAAAGGAAAAAAUUCCUUUAAAUUAUUUUGUUGUGAAAGCAACAAUUAAAAAAACGGGAAAGACGAUAAGAUUAGGAGAAGUUCCAAUUUAUCGGCGGUGUUAAUGCAACACCCUUUACCCAGAAAGGUGAAGUGGCAAUGCCACUUCACCUCCUUUAUGAAGUCUAUGAGUGGUAGGAGAGUGUUCCACUCUGCUGUGAAGAAGGACUCGUGAGAGCCUUUGGAGCGUGUGGAAGUAAGAAUGUUGGCACAAGUAACCGCAAUGACGCUGAGAUCGCGUCACGUCGAAAGAUCAAGGUUUCCUUGGUAAUGUCAAUCAGCCAAGGGUUAGUCGGGCCUAAGGGGAUGGCGAAAGCCGUACUCGAUGGACACAGGGUUAAUAUUCCCUGACUUCCGUAUUUAGUGAUGGGAUGACGGAGUGUAGUAUGUAUCGCUCAUUAUUGGAUUUGAAGUUUGUGUCUUAAGGAUGUUGCAUAGGAAAAUCCGUGCAUUGCUUUAAAUGGCACAUCCAAGAGAAGCAAAAAGUUUUAUCCUUCGGGAUAGGGCAAUGAUACAAAGCACGCUUCCAAGAAAACUCUCUAAACUUAUAAAUAUGGAAUCCGUACCGCAAACCGACACAGGUGAUCAGGGCGAGUAGCCCAAGACGAACGAGUGAGUGGUCCUCAAGGAACUCGGCAAAAAAUCAGCCGUAACUUCGGGAUAAGGCUUCCCCCCAUUAUUUUGGAUAUUUCCAAAUAUUGAGGGAAAGUUAAGUAUGUAAAAAAGAGACAAAAUUAAUUUUCCCCAUUAUUUUUAUAUGUAAGUAUCUAAAAUAGUGGGGGGCGCAGCGAAAGUAUUCCUGGCAACUGUUUACCAAAAACACAGCUCCCUGCGAACUCGCAAGAGGAUGUAUAGGGGGUGACACCUGACCAAUGCCAGAAGGUCAAAUAUCGCCGUUGGUAGUAGCAAUAUUAUUGGUGAGUGAUAUAAGCCCUGGUGAAUGUCGGCCGUAACUAUAACGGUCCUAAGGUAGCGAAAUACCUUGUCGGGUAAGUUCCGACGCGCACGAAUGGUGUAAUGACUGGGAAACUGUCUCGAGGACCAGCUCGGUGAAAAUACAAUACCGGUGAAGAUGCCGGUUAAGUGCAGUUAGACGAAAAGACCCUAGAAGCUUUACUAUAGCUUGAUAUUGAGCAUGUUUUUAGACUGCGUAGCAUAGAUGGGAGAGUUUGAAGUUUCGGUUCCGGCUGAAAUGGACUCGUCAGUGAAAUACCAUUCUUUUUGAAGGCAUGUUCUAACCAAUACGGCAAAAACGUAUUGAGACAGUAUCUGGUGGAUAGUUUUACUGGGGCUGUACCCUCCUAAAGAGUAAAGGAGGGGUUUAAAGGUCAGCUAGGCGCGAAUGGAAACCGUGCCGAUAGUGUAUAAGCACAAGCUGGCUUGACUGUAAGACGUACAUGUCGAGCAGGUGGGAAACCAGAAUUAAGUGAUCCGACCAUUCGCAUUAGACGCGGUGGAAGCUCAACGGAUAAAAGCUACUCUAGGGAUAACAGGCUAGUUCCGCCCAAGAGUUCAUAUCGACGGCGGAGUUCGGCACCUCGAUGUCGGCUCACCUUAGCGCGGCGGUGGAGAAGCUGCCAAGCGUUUGGCUGUUCGCCAAUUAAAAAGGUACGCGAGCUGGGUUCAGACCGUUUAGGUCAUAAAAUAUUUUGUGAUUUAAACAGUUUGAGCCCUCAGAGGAAAAUAAUUCGAAUGUGAAUUAGAACUGUUAUAAAAUUGAAAUCAAUCAAGUACAUUAAAUUGUAUACACGGCGGCACUAUAUAGAAAUAUGUAGUGGCAAGCUAACUUAUAUCGGAGAAACCCCUAAGGGGCAACGCCGAGGGAACCCGUAAAGGGGCCCGUAGAGACUGAAUGUUAGCAAUCCUGGUGAAGGAAUAUUCCUUCGACAAGUUCAGGAUGAAGUCACAGUCCAAUCCACAUAGUAAUAUGUGAAAAAUUUUAUUUUAAAAAUAAAAUUGUAGAUGCGUGAGACAGGUUGGUCUCCUAUCUACUGCACUCGUUGAUUCUUGAGAAGAUCUGCUUCUAGUACGAGAGGACCGAAGUGGACUGACCUCUGGUGUAUCAGCUGUCCUGCCAAGGGCACUGCUGAGUAGCUAUGUCGGGAAUGGAUAACCUCUGAAAGCAUCUAAGAGGGAAGCCAGCUUCAAGAUUAGGAAUCGUUAAGAACCGUGAGAGAUGAUCACGUUGAUAGGCUUUAGGUGGAAGCGUAGUAAUGCGUUAAGCCGAGAAGUACUAAUGUUUCGAUUCCUGUUAAG
RNAcentral lists this ribosomal RNA (3533 nucleotides) under Patescibacteria group bacterium. RNAcentral describes it as "23S ribosomal RNA". It matches the Rfam family "Bacterial large subunit ribosomal RNA". The record is from RNAcentral.